GGGUCGGAGCGGUGAUGGGUGACACCAGCGGACUCCAAAUCCGUCGACCAAAUGGUCUUGGGGGUUCGAAUCCUCCCCGGCCCGCCA
This 87-nucleotide transfer RNA is filed under the name Candidatus Sungiibacteriota bacterium. RNAcentral describes it as "Candidatus Sungbacteria bacterium tRNA-Trp". It matches the Rfam family "tRNA". From Rfam's summary of the family: Transfer RNA (tRNA) molecules are approximately 80 nucleotides in length. The record is from RNAcentral. Lineage: Bacteria; Candidatus Sungiibacteriota.